GCAAUUCAAUUUUAGUUCUGCGUUUAUGACUUUUAUUGUAUAUUAGUUUCAUAGUUGGUCAUUUCAUAUUAAUAUUCUUUCAAUAGUUAAUAGCCACAUUUGUAUGAAAACUUGAUCAUAUUUGCACUGUAGUCUCUUAGGAAAAUGGAAAGGGAAAAAAAAAAAAAAAAAAAAAGGUAAGUCUUAAAGGAGAAAAAAUGAUUAGAAAGAGAUUCAAAUUUUCUGUUGUAAGUCCAGUUUAAUGGCCUUGUUGAAAUUAUAUAAAGACAAUAUCUAGUUUGAGGUUUCUUGUUUGUGGAUGUGGGUGUCCGAAUCUAACAAAGUUGUAAUUCCUUUCAUUGCGAAAUAAGGAAGUCAGUAUGGGUUUUCCUCAAAAUUUGGCCACUUGCCGAUCGAAUUGGACUUUGAGUCAAGCAAAAUAAGGAAAUUUAUACAAGAUUGCAAGUUGGCGUGAUGGAUGUUGAGACAUUGGAGUGCAAGCUGGCGUGAUGGCUUUUCCAAGUGGCUUUAUGAGUUUAUAAGGACUUAUUGUCCAAGUCCAAAUAGAAAAUAUUAGUUUAAUCAUUUACAAACUUUUAUAACAUUUGAAUUGUACCAUACAUUUGGCCAAGUUAUAAUAUUUCAAUUUUACCGUACA
Long non-coding RNA from Prunus dulcis (almond), 637 nucleotides. RefSeq lists it as uncharacterized. NCBI's taxonomy places the organism in Eukaryota, Viridiplantae, Streptophyta, Magnoliopsida, Rosales, Rosaceae. The record is from RefSeq and is a predicted model, not a curated record. The transcript is spliced from 2 exons.